Molecule: long non-coding RNA, 216 nt
Filed under: Panax ginseng (ginseng)
Lineage: Eukaryota; Viridiplantae; Streptophyta; Magnoliopsida; Apiales; Araliaceae
Description: long non-coding RNA (PGIN_LNC006859)
Source: RNAcentral
UUGCUUGUAUGGGAAAUGAUUUGAUAGUCUCAUCAUCUCAGCGGAUAUAACUGCUACUAAUCCCUUCCAUUUGGUAGGACAUGUAUUCCCACUCUCGAGUUGCACAGUGUCAUCAUCUGUUAGCUGCAGGACACCGCAAUCAAUAAGAUUCUGAAUAAGAUAGCGGAGUGCUCAGCAUUCUUCUGUGCUAUGACCGCGAGAAUGUGAAUGAUAUUG